UACGGAGGGGGCUAGCGUUGUUCGGAGUUACUGGGCGUAAAGCGCACGUAGGCGGCUUUGUAAGUUAGAGGUGAAAGCCCAGGGCUUAACCCUGGAAUUGCCUUUAAGACUGCAUCGCUAGAAUCGUGGAGAGGUGAGUGGAAUUCCGAGUGUAGAGGUGAAAUUCGUAGAUAUUGGGAGGAACACCAGUGGCGAAGGCGGCUCACUGGACCGGAACUGACGCUGAGGCGCGAAAGCGUGGGGAGCAAACGGG
RNAcentral lists this ribosomal RNA (253 nucleotides) under uncultured bacterium. Its description in RNAcentral is "partial 16S ribosomal RNA". It matches the Rfam family "Bacterial small subunit ribosomal RNA", at positions 524 to 776 of the family's 1533-position model. The record is from RNAcentral.